UCUGGUGAUUCUAGCGAAGUGGUCACACCUGUUCCCAUCCCGAACACAGUAGUUAAGCACUUUAGCGGCGACAAUAGCUAUGCCUGCCAUAGUUAAGAUAGCUCAUUGCCAGUU
Erysipelothrix larvae is the source of this 114-nucleotide ribosomal RNA. Lineage: Bacteria; Bacillati; Bacillota; Erysipelotrichia; Erysipelotrichales; Erysipelotrichaceae. The record is from Rfam.